This is an RNA transcript of Liolophura sinensis, 2453 nucleotides long. It is a transcript of the gene named cys-loop ligand-gated ion channel-like, with no coding region annotated. The transcript is spliced from 11 exons. The record is from RefSeq and is a predicted model, not a curated record. Lineage: Eukaryota; Metazoa; Mollusca; Polyplacophora; Chitonida; Chitonidae.
GGAACUGAAAUACGACGUCGUUUAGCGCCUCUGUAAGGUAGAGCUCUCUUCAUCAGCAGUCAUUACCGUACCGCAAAGCAAGGAGCUAAGCUGUGCGAAGUUACGCCACAUAUCUAUCAUCGAAUCCCUAACCAGGCUACCCUCUUGUUCACCUCUGACUAUCACAGUGAUUUUAUCUCGUUUCUUUGCCUGACGUAAGCUAUGACUGGGAGCAAAGGCGCGGGAGUUCGACCUACUGUUUGCAAGCUACGGAAGAGCGUGGGUCUUCUGUGUGAUAAGUCUGUGUGAAACAAUCGGCAAUUCGCUAUUUUUAGUGGAAUGCAAACUUCAAACUGGGAUUGAGUGAUCUGCUUCGUCGUGUCAAAGGAUUUACGAAGGUUUCUGAGCAGAUUUUUCGAUUUUCUGGUCCUGUACAUUGUUGAGUGGCGGUUCUGGCACUAAAAUCCCUGUUGAGAGAGACAAAAGGAAUCCGCAAGGCCUACGGCUUGUGUCAAAGGUUGUCUGUUUACUUGCCGAUGACUAACAGUCCACUUCCUUGGGUAGACCGGUACCAUGAUGGGACUAGGCAACAAUGUAUUUCUUCCGAUGACCUACGACCCCGGUGACGUAUCACAUGACUCGGAUCAACCGGUGAGAGGAUCAUGGGAAUUUUUAGCCUUAAAAAAGCCAGUAUCGAAAAUUAAACAGAAGAUUCGAGUAGAAAUCUGUGUUCAAUUCGCUAAGGUGGGAGAAAUCGACACGCUUAAGGAACAGUAUGCGGCCGACGUUGUCAUCAAGGCCAAAUGGCGCGAACCGGCGCUGGAUGGACAGACAAUUACGACGGCGGAUGCCAUCGACUGGAAAAAAUACUGGAAUCCCAAAAUUUAUAUAGAAAAUACGAUUGGGGACCCGAAGGAGAAAAUAAGUUACCGAGUUCUACACAACGACGAAGGACAUGCAUUUGUCGUGGAAAAAAGACGAGUCAAGGGAGUAUUCAUGGAAAACCUGGAACUUGAUGAUUUUCCCUUCGAUGUACAGGAUCUCACCAUAACAGUGGCGUCAGAGUUACCGUCCUUUGAGGUGGAGUUGAUCGAGGAUAUAGAGGAGCAUCACUUGGUCAACAGGCAGUCAUUUGUGGACGAGCAGGAGUGGCAUCUCUACAUGCACACCGAGACAGAAAGGAAAGAGUUCUACAUAGAGAAAUCAGAGGCCACAAUCAAACGGUCGGCGUUAUCCGUGAAGUGCCGAGCGGCACGAAGACCCGGAUACUUCGUCUGGAAUAUAUUCAUGGUCACGUUUCUUAUAUGCAGUUUGUGUUUUGCCACAUUCUCCGUGGACAAGAACCGACCCCACAACCGUCUUCAGCUUUCCUUCACCCUCAUGCUCACGGCAGUCGCCUUCAAAUCAGUCGUCAACCAAAGUUUGCCCAAGAUCUCCUACCUUACCUAUAUGGACAAAUAUUUACUCGCAUCGAUGAUAAUGCUUUCAACAAUCUGCGCGUGGCACGGAAUUGUCACCACCAUAAGCAACAAGGACGGGAGCGCGGACCGCAUAGAGAACAUCGUCCUCACCGCACUUGCAGUCAUAUAUAUACUCUAUAACGUCGGCUUCAUAUUCAUGAUUUACCUAUUCCCAUGUAAGAGGAGGCGUCUCAUGAACUUAAAGGACAGGGAGUACCGGAGUUCUCUACGGGAAUGGGAGCUUUGAGACGACAGAUAAAGGGCAACAACUCUUGCACCUCUCUGUUCAUCCUUUGGCAUUUUUCACUUCACUUACCCGCUCAGCCUGAUGAUACAAUUUGCCCGCAACAUAUUUAGCUUAUUGAAAGACAAAGAAACAGGCCUACAAUCGCAAAUUCUUACGCUUUGGAACUGGGAACAACUAAGCUUGGACAAAUGCUUUUCACCCACGAGAUAUUAAACACUCACUCGAAAAAAAAAACACUGUGCUUUCUAAAGAUGGGAUGAUCUACUCAAACUUUUACAAGUUUCUUAAAGUGACAUUUGUUUCAAAACAUUUUUGAGCGAUAAACCACAGGGCUUCUGUUUUUCACCCGCUGCAGACACCUGAGGAACAGUAUCUAAGCCAGAUCUUGGAGGAAGAAUCAUCAGACGUUUGACCUAACUCACUCGAAAAGUUACCAGUCUGGAAAAACGAAACCAGUCUGGGGAAGGUACUUGACUAUUACCAAGGUACCAGUCAUGUGUGAUCUUUAGCCAAACCGACCAAACAACCCGGAAGCAUUUUCCGGGAAUUCUGGCCAAAGACUUCUACGUUUUAUCAACGUGAAAUCUUGUGAUAUGUACAAAAGGCGGCCUGCUUUGGGAGCAUAGCGGAUGUUCGGUAUUUUAUCGAGUAACCAAUUUUUGGGCUUCAGUAUUUUUUUCUUCAGAAAAAAGAGUUGUGAAAAGCUGUUUAUUGACGAGGUGAUGCAGCUUGAUCAGGACACGUGAUUCUCGUGGGUAUGGUGCGGU